UGAGGAAUACAUCGGAAUCUACCUUUUCCUGGGGGAUAACGUAGGGAAACUUACGCUAAUACCGCAUACGACCUACGGGUGAAAGUGGGGGACCGCAAGGCCUCACGCGAUUAGAUGAGCCGAUGUCCGAUUAGCUAGUUGGCGGGGUAAUGGCCCACCAAGGCGACGAUCGGUAGCUGGUCUGAGAGGAUGAUCAGCCACACUGGAACUGAGACACGGUCCAGACUCCUACGGGAGGCAGCAGUGGGGAAUAUUGGACAAUGGGCGCAAGCCUGAUCCAGCCAUACCGCGUGGGUGAAGAAGGCCUUCGGGUUGUAAAGCCCUUUUGUUGGGAAAGAAAUCCUAUCGGUUAAUAACCGGUGGGGAUGACGGUACCCAAAGAAUAAGCACCGGCUAACUUCGUGCCAGCAGCCGCGGUAAUACGAAGGGUGUCGGAAUUACUGGGCGUAAAGCGUGCGUAGGUGGUGGUUUAAGUCCCUUGUGAAAGCCCUGGGCUCAACCUGGGAAUUGCAGUGGAUACUGGAUCACUAGAGUGUGGUAGAGGGAUGCGGAAUUUCUGGUGUAGCAGUGAAAUGCGUAGAGAUCAGAAGGAACAUCCGUGGCGAAGGCGGCAUCCUGGGCCAACACUGACACUGAGGCACGAAAGCGUGGGGAGCAAACAGGAUUAGAUACCCUGGUAGUCCACGCCCUAAACGAUGCGAACUGGAUGUUGGGUGCAACUUGGCACCCAGUAUCGAAGCUAACGCGUUAAGUUCGCCGCCUGGGGAGUACGGUCGCAAGACUGAAACUCAAAGGAAUUGACGGGGGCCCGCACAAGCGGUGGAGUAUGUGGUUUAAUUCGAUGCAACGCGAAGAACCUUACCUGGUCUUGACAUCCACGGAACUUUCCAGAGAUGGAUUGGUGCCUUCGGGAACCGUGAGACUGGUGCUGCAUGGCUGUCGUCAGCUCGUGUCGUGGAGAUGUUGGGUUAAGUCCCGCAACGAGCGCAACCCUUGUCCUUAGUUGCCAGCACGUAAUGGUGGGAACUCUAAGGAGACCGCCGGUGAAAACCGGAAGAAGGUGGGAUGACGUCAGUCAUCUGGCCUUACAACCAGGGCUACACACGUACUACAAUGGUGGGGACAGAGGGCUGCAAA
RNAcentral lists this ribosomal RNA (1137 nucleotides) under uncultured Pseudoxanthomonas sp. RNAcentral's name for it is "bacterial SSU rRNA". It matches the Rfam family "Bacterial small subunit ribosomal RNA", at positions 107 to 1253 of the family's 1533-position model. Lineage: Bacteria; Pseudomonadati; Pseudomonadota; Gammaproteobacteria; Lysobacterales; Lysobacteraceae. The record is from RNAcentral.